This 430-nucleotide ribosomal RNA is filed under the name Salmonella enterica subsp. enterica serovar Typhimurium. Its description in RNAcentral is "partial 23S ribosomal RNA". It matches the Rfam family "Bacterial large subunit ribosomal RNA", at positions 125 to 595 of the family's 2925-position model. Lineage: Bacteria; Pseudomonadati; Pseudomonadota; Gammaproteobacteria; Enterobacterales; Enterobacteriaceae. The record is from RNAcentral.
AACCCAGUGUGAUUCGUCACACUAUCAUUAACUGAAUCCAUAGGUUAAUGAGGCGAACCGGGGGAACUGAAACAUCUAAGUACCCCGAGGAAAAGAAAUCAACCGAGAUUCCCCCAGUAGCGGCGAGCGAACGGGGAGGAGCCCAGAGCCUGAAUCAGCAUGUGUGUUAGUGGAAGCGUCUGGAAAGGCGCGCGAUACAGGGUGACAGCCCCGUACACAAAAGCGCAUGUGCUGUGAGCUCGAUGAGUAGGGCGGGACACGUGGUAUCCUGUCUGAAUAUGGGGGGACCAUCCUCCAAGGCUAAAUACUCCUGACUGACCGAUAGUGAACCAGUACCGUGAGGGAAAGGCGAAAAGAACCCCGGCGAGGGGAGUGAAAAAGAACCUGAAACCGUGUACGUACAAGCAGUGGGAGCACCCUUCGGGGUGUG